CUCAAAGGAAUUGACGGGGGCCCGCACAAGCGGUGGAGCAUGUGGUUUAAUUCGACGCAACGCGCAGAACCUUACCAGCCCUUGACAUGUCCAGGACCGGUCGCAGAGAUGUGACCUUCUCUUCGGAGCCUGGAGCACAGGUGCUGCAUGGCUGUCGUCAGCUCGUGUCGUGAGAUGUUGGGUUAAGUCCCGCAACGAGCGCAACCCCCGUCCUUAGUUGCUACCAUUUAGUUGAGCACUCUAAGGAGACUGCCGGUGAUAAGCCGCGAGGAAGGUGGGGAUGACGUCAAGUCCUCAUGGCCCUUACGGGCUGGGCUACACACGUGCUACAAUGGCGGUGACAAUGGGAUGCAAAGGGGCGACCCCUAGCAAAUCUCAAAAAAA
This 384-nucleotide ribosomal RNA is filed under the name uncultured Nitrobacter sp. RNAcentral's name for it is "bacterial SSU rRNA". It matches the Rfam family "Bacterial small subunit ribosomal RNA", at positions 900 to 1282 of the family's 1533-position model. Lineage: Bacteria; Pseudomonadati; Pseudomonadota; Alphaproteobacteria; Hyphomicrobiales; Nitrobacteraceae. The record is from RNAcentral.